AGUGAACGCUGGCGGUAGGCCUAACACAUGCAAGUCGAACGGCAGCACAGUAAGAGCUUGCUCUUACGGGUGGCGAGUGGCGGACGGGUGAGGAAUACAUCGGAAUCUACUUUUUCGUGGGGGAUAACGUAGGGAAACUUACGCUAAUACCGCAUACGACCUACGGGUGAAAGCAGGGGAUCUUCGGACCUUGCGCGAUUGAAUGAGCCGAUGUCGGAUUAGCUAGUUGGCGGGGUAAAGGCCCACCAAGGCGACGAUCCGUAGCUGGUCUGAGAGGAUGAUCAGCCACACUGGAACUGAGACACGGUCCAGACUCCUACGGGAGGCAGCAGUGGGGAAUAUUGGACAAUGGGGGCAAGCCUGAUCCAGCCAUACCGCGUGGGUGAAGAAGGCCUUCGGGUUGUAAAGCCCUUUUGUUGGGAAAGAAAAGCAGCAGGUUAAUACCCCGCGGUUCUGACGGUACCCAAAGAAUAAGCACCGGCUAACUUCGUG
Molecule: ribosomal RNA, 492 nt
Filed under: uncultured bacterium
Lineage: Bacteria
Description: partial 16S ribosomal RNA
Rfam family: Bacterial small subunit ribosomal RNA
Source: RNAcentral